AGUGAACGCUGGCGGUAGGCCUAACACAUGCAAGUCGAACGGCAGCACAGUAAGAGCUUGCUCUUACGGGUGGCGAGUGGCGGACGGGUGAGGAAUACAUCGGAAUCUACUUUUUCGUGGGGGAUAACGUAGGGAAACUUACGCUAAUACCGCAUACGACCUACGGGUGAAAGCAGGGGAGCUUCGGACCUUUCGCGAUUGAAUGAGCCGAUGUCGGAUUAGCUAGUUGGCGGGGUAAAGGCCCACCAAGGCGACGAUCCGUAGCUGGUCUGAGAGGAUGAUCAGCCACACUGGAACUGAGACACGGUCCAGACUCCUACGGGAGGCAGCAGUGGGGAAUAUUGGACAAUGGGCGAAAGCCUGACCCAGCCAUACCGCGUGGGUGAAGAAGGCCUUCGGGUUGUAAAGCCCUUUUGUUGGGAAAGAAAAGCAGCAGGUUAAUCCCCCGCUGUUCUGACGGUACCCAAAGAAUAAGCACCGGCUAACUUCGUG
Molecule: ribosomal RNA, 492 nt
Filed under: uncultured bacterium
Lineage: Bacteria
Description: partial 16S ribosomal RNA
Rfam family: Bacterial small subunit ribosomal RNA
Source: RNAcentral